GAACAUUUUCUUUCACAGUGACACUGACUCCGAAUGGGAGUCUUAUCCGGUGUCCUGUGUGAAUUUAAGUAUGCGCUCUCUAAUUCUCUCUUUCUCUCUCUCUCGGAGGACCUGAGCCCUAGGACCAUGCGUCAGGACUACCUGGCAUGAUGACACCUUGCUGUCCCCAGUCCACCUAGCCUUGCCGCUGUUCCAGUUUCAACUGUUCUGCCUGCGGCUAUGGAACCCUAAACUGUUCAUUUUUACUCGAGGUGCUGUCCUGUUGCACCCUCUACAACCACUGUGAUCUCCACCCGGCACAGCCAGAAGAGGACUGGCCACCCCUCAUAGCCUGGUUCAUAGCCCCUCAUAGAGGACUGAGGGUCUUCCAAAUAUUGAAAAAUACCAUUUUGGUAUUUUGUUUAUAGUUAUUUGUUUCAAAAUGUAUACCUUCACCAAUUUGGCCACUUGGGUACAUUUGGGCUACUUGUGUGGGACACCUGGUGACUUCAUGAUAAAUGUCAUGUAGCACACUCCUUUUGGAAGUUAUCAUUCUGAAACUUUGCACAAGUACUGUUGCCCUCUUAUAUUUUUCACUGAAAUUGUCCCCAUCAUCCUAUCUGAAUGUUUGUUUUAUCUUGUUCAUUUUAAAGAAGAUAAAACAAUGAAAAAAAAAAGUUAUUUAAACCAGAUCUAUUGUGUGUUAUUCUCCUACAUUCAAUUCACAUUUACACAAACUUCAGAGUAUUUUCUUUCAAAUGGUACCAAGAAUAUGCAUAUCCUUGGUUCUGUGCCUGAGCUACAGGCUGUUAGAUUUGGGUAUGUCUUCAGGCGGAAAUUGCACAAAGUAGGGGGGGAGCUGCAAGAGGUUAUUAAGGCCUGAUUGUUAGAGUGCUGCAGAGAUGGUUGUUCUUCUGGAAGGUUCUCCCAUCUCCACAGAGAAACUCUGGAGCUCUGUCCGAGUUACCAUCGGGUUUUUGGUCACCUCCCUGACCAAAGCCCUUCUCCCACGAUUGCUCAGUUUGGCCGGGCGGCCAGCUCUAGGAAGAGUCUUGGUGGUUCCAAACUUCUUCCAUUUUACAAAUGAUGGAUGCCACUGUGUUUU
Molecule: long non-coding RNA, 1084 nt
Organism: Oncorhynchus tshawytscha (Chinook salmon)
Lineage: Eukaryota; Metazoa; Chordata; Actinopteri; Salmoniformes; Salmonidae
Source: Ensembl